RNAcentral lists this ribosomal RNA (230 nucleotides) under Eimeria sp. 1 RHa-2020. Its description in RNAcentral is "partial 18S ribosomal RNA". It matches the Rfam family "Eukaryotic small subunit ribosomal RNA", at positions 557 to 788 of the family's 1831-position model. Lineage: Eukaryota; Apicomplexa; Conoidasida; Eucoccidiorida; Eimeriidae. The record is from RNAcentral.
CACAUUAGCGCCAGCAGCCGCGGUAAUUCCAGCGCGAAUAGUGUAUAUUAGAGUUGUUGCAGUUAAAAAGCUCGUAGUUGGAUUUCUGUCGUGGUCAGCCUGCGCUGCUCGUAUGGGUGUGCGCGUGGUUUGCCCGCGGCUUUUUUCCGGUAGCCUCCGGCUCUUAAUUGCGUCGGUAGGUGUUCUGGAACUUUUACUUUGAGAAAAAUAGAGUGUUUCAAGCAGGCUUG